AACGAACGCUGGCGGCGUGUUUAAGACAUGCAAGUCGCACGGGAUAAGACAUGUAGUAAUACUUGUUUUAUUUAGUGGCGCACGGGUGAGUAACACGUGAAUUACAAGCCCUAUAGUGGGGAAUAGCUCAGGGAAACUUGGAUUAAUACCCCAUGGUAUCGAAAGAUUAAAGGUGGCCGCAAGGCUGUCGCUAUAGGAUUGGUUCGCGCCCUAUCAGCUUGUUGGUGAGGUAACGGCUCACCAAGGCAAUGACGGGUACCUGGUCUGAGAGGACGAUCAGGCACACUGGAACUGAGACACGGUCCAGACACCUACGGGUGGCAGCAGUCGAGAAUAAUUCACAAUGGGGGCAACCCUGAUGGUGCAACGCCGCGUGGAGGAUGACGGUCUUCGGAUUGUAAACUCCUGUCAUCUGGGAGAAAGACCUGACGGUAAAUAGCCGGCAGGGUUGAUAGUACCAGAAGAGGAAGGGACGGCUAACUUCGUGCCAGCAGCCGCAGUAA
Molecule: ribosomal RNA, 503 nt
Filed under: uncultured bacterium
Lineage: Bacteria
Description: partial 16S ribosomal RNA
Rfam family: Bacterial small subunit ribosomal RNA
Source: RNAcentral